GGAAAAAAUAUUGAGAGUUUCUGAUUGGCUAAUAUAUUGAGACAAGGAUUGUACUUUUCCACCGUUGAUAGCAAAAGAUCAAGGGACCAAAUUUUCUCCUUCUUUUUCUCCUUCUUCUUCUUGGUCUCGUUUGUUUCUUCAAGCUUUCUCAUUUUCCAAACCCAAAUCAAUUAACUCUACCAAUGGCUUCUCCUUAAUUCUUUCACCUUCUUCCCAAGAUCUAAAAGCUUUCGCCGUUCACGACCACCACAUCUUGAAGGUUCGGCCGUCGCUCACACCACAUCUGGAAGGUUCGGCCGUCGUUCACCAUAACACAUUUCAAAGGGAUUAAGGGUAUAUUGCUAGAGACGGUGACAGAGGAGAGCGGCAGCGGAGGAGAACGGCGGUGGAACGGUGACAGAGGAGAGCGUUAGCGGAGGAGAAUGGCUGCGAAGGAGAACGGGGUGGAGGAGUACGGCGGAGGGGUGCAGCAGAGGGCAAGCUUUGAAGCUUUUUAAUUUUCUAAUUUUUUUCACUAAUUAAGUUUGUAUUGAUUAAUUGUAAUCAAAAUUAAUAAACAAAUAAUUUUGAUAUUUU
Long non-coding RNA from Arabidopsis lyrata subsp. lyrata, 576 nucleotides. RefSeq lists it as uncharacterized. Lineage: Eukaryota; Viridiplantae; Streptophyta; Magnoliopsida; Brassicales; Brassicaceae. The transcript is spliced from 2 exons. The record is from RefSeq and is a predicted model, not a curated record.